Molecule: RNA transcript, 9150 nt
Organism: Scylla paramamosain (green mud crab)
Lineage: Eukaryota; Metazoa; Arthropoda; Malacostraca; Decapoda; Portunidae
Gene: zip
Gene name: myosin heavy chain, non-muscle-like
Exons: 25
Source: RefSeq, a predicted model, not a curated record
ACAUAGCUCCAGACCUCAGUCUGCUGGCAACCUUUGGUGGGGGAGGACGUGUGCGCCUCCACUACACGCUGCUGCCCGCCACUAGCUUAAAAAGGGAGAAGUUUUGCUAUGGAUUCUCCGUGUUGACGGUCGACACAGAGUGACAAGAAUACGGCAGGCAGAUUGCAGGUGCACAGUGACACUGAGUAGCACCGGUCCUCCGUCGCCACAAACCCCACACACCGAGACUCACCGCGGCCACGGCAGUGCUGGACCCAACAUUACUUGAAAACACCCAGAAAAACAAACACUCCCUCUCUCCUGCCUUCCCUGCGACUCUCCCAAGAUGGCGGAUAUAGACGUGAAUGAUCCCGAGCUGAAAUACCUGGUGGUGUCGCGGGACACGUUCGAGGACCCGGCCAGCCAGGCGGAAUGGACGCAGAAGCGGCUGGUGUGGAUCCCGCACUCCGAACAUGGCUUCGUGGCGGCCGGCAUCAAGGGCGAGGUGGGCGACGAGGUGGAGGUGGAGAUCGCGGACACGGGCAAGCGGGUACGAGUGGCCAAGGACGACAUACAGAAGAUGAACCCGCCCAAAUUCAAUAAGGUUGAGGACAUGGCCGAACUCACCUGUUUGAACGAAGCCUCGGUCCUGUACAACCUGAAGGAGAGAUAUUACUCCGGCCUGAUCUACACGUACUCCGGCCUGUUCUGUGUGGUGGUCAACCCGUACCGCCGGCUGCCCAUCUACACGGAAAAAGUAAUUGAAAUGUACAAAGGAAAGAAGAGACACGAGAUGCCCCCUCACGUCUUCGCCAUUACAGACUGCGCCUACCGGUCCAUGCUUCAAGAUCGCGAGGACCAGAGCAUCCUGUGCACGGGCGAGUCAGGUGCCGGCAAGACUGAAAACACGAAGAAGGUGAUCCAGUACCUCGCCUACGUGGCCGCCUCGAAGUCCAAGGGCGGAGCAUCGGGGGAGGAUCUUCACCUCCAACAACAACAACUAGUACAGCAACAACAACAACAACACAUAGGCAACGUCUUCAAACCUGCUGUUCAACAAGAGUACAAGAGCAUAGCGGGAGAGCUGGAAGCACAGCUGCUGCAGGCCAACCCCAUCCUUGAGGCCUUCGGUAAUGCCAAGACUGUCAAGAAUGACAACUCAUCCAGAUUCGGCAAAUUCAUUAGGAUCAACUUUGACAACUCUGGCUACAUUGCUGGUGCCAACAUUGAAACUUACCUGCUGGAAAAGUCCCGCACCAUACGUCAGACCCAAGAUGAACGCACAUUCCACAUUUUCUACCAGCUGCUGGCUGGAACCACUCAGCAGCAGAAACGAGACUUUAUCCUGGAGGAUCCCAAGCACUACAUCUUCCUGACGCAGGGCAAGAUCGCUGUGGCAGGCUUUGAUGAGGUGGCUGAGUUCCAGGCCACCGUGAAGGCCAUGCAGAUCAUGGGCAUCAACAAUGAGGACAUCCAGUCCAUCUUCAAGACCGUCUCAGCUGUACUGAUGUUUGGCAACAUGCAGUUCAAGCAGGAGCGCAGCAAUGACCAGGCAACACUACCAGACAACACCGUCGCUCAGCAGGUGGCUCACUUGCUGGGACUCAACGUGACCGACAUGGUGAGAGGGUUCCUCAAGCCACGCAUCAAGGUUGGCCGUGAGACUGUCACCAAGGCACAGAACAAGGAGCAGUGUGAGUUUGCUGUGGAGGCCAUUGCCAAGGCUCUGUACGAAAGACUCUUCAAGUGGAUUGUGAUGCGCAUCAACCGCUCGCUGGACCGCACCAAGCGCCAGGGAGCCUCCUUCAUUGGCAUCCUGGAUAUUGCUGGUUUUGAGAUCUUUGCCAUGAACAGCUUUGAGCAACUGUGCAUCAACUAUACCAACGAGAAGCUGCAACAGCUGUUCAACCACACCAUGUUCAUCUUGGAGCAAGAGGAGUACCAGCGUGAAGGCAUUGAGUGGAAGUUCAUUGAUUUUGGCCUUGAUCUGCAGCCAACUAUUGACCUCAUUGAGAAGCCCAUGGGUAUCCUGGCCCUGCUGGAUGAAGAGUGCUUCUUCCCCAAGGCCACAGACAAGAGCUUCAUUGACAAACUCAAUACCUCCCAUUCUGUCCAUCCAAAGUUCUGCAAGUCUGAGUUCAGGGACAAGGCUGACUUCGCCAUUGUGCACUAUGCUGGGAAGGUGGACUACUCAGGCCACCAGUGGCUCAUGAAGAACAUGGACCCUCUCAACGAGAACAUUGUGUCCCUCUUGCAGACCUCUCAAGACCCAUUCAUUGUGCAGAUCUGGAAGGAUGCUGAGAUUGUAGGCAUGGCACAGCAGGCAAUGGGUGACAGCCACUUUGGAGCUCGCACCAGGAAGGGAAUGUUCCGAACUGUGAGUCAGCUGUACAAGGAACAACUCACUAAGCUCAUGAUGACACUCAGAAACACCAACCCCAACUUUGUGCGCUGUAUCAUCCCCAACCAUGAAAAGCGAGCUGGCAAGAUUGAUGCUGGACUGGUCUUGGAUCAACUGAGAUGCAAUGGUGUGCUGGAGGGCAUCAGGAUCUGUCGCCAGGGCUUCCCCAACCGCAUACCCUUCCAAGAGUUCCGUCAGCGUUAUGAAUUACUGACACCCAAUGUCAUCCCCAAGGGCUUCAUGGAUGGCAAGAAGGCUUGUGAGAUGAUGAUCCAGGCACUGGAGCUGGAGCCCAACCUGUACCGUAUUGGACAGUCCAAGAUCUUCCUGCGUGCUGGUGUGCUGGCCUCCUUGGAAGAGGAGCGAGACAUCAAGAUGACAGACCUCAUUGUACAGUUCCAGGCAUAUUGUCGUGGUAUGCUGGCUCGUAAGAACUACCAGAAGAGGAUCCAGCAGCUCAAUGCCAUCAGGAUUAUCCAGCGAAACUGUGCUGCUUACCUGAAGCUCCGCAACUGGCAGUGGUGGCGGCUGUACACCAAAGUGAAGCCUUUGCUGCAGGUGACAAAACAGGAGGAGAAACUGGUGCAGAAGGAAGAGGAACUGAAGGUUAUACAGAAUGUCCUGGAGACACAAAAGAAAACCAAUAAGGACAUGGAAGUCAAAUUCCAGCAGGCAUUGCAGGAAAAAAAUGUUCUUGCUGAACAGCUCCAGGCAGAGACGGAACUGUGUGCAGAAGCAGAGGAGAUGCGGGCACGCCUUCUGGCUCGAAAACAAGAAUUGGAAGAUAUACUGCAUGACAUGGAGACACGUUUAGAGGAAGAGGAAGAACGCACUGGUAAUCUCUCUGCAGAGAAGAAGAAGCUGCAGCUUCAAAUUCAGGAUUUGGAGGAGCAGCUGGAGGAGGAAGAGGCUGCCAGGCAGAAGCUACAGCUGGAGAAGGUACAGUGUGACAGCAAGAUUAAAAAGCUGGAAGAAGAGUAUGCCAUUUUAGAUGAUUCAAACCAGAAACUCUUGAAGGAGAAGAAGUUGAUGGAGGAACGUACCUCAGAUGUGUCUAGCACACUUGCUGAGGAGGAGGAAAAGUCCAAGCAUCUUAUGAAAUUGAAGGCCAAGCAUGAGUCCAUGCUCACUGAUCUUGAGGAUCGCAUCAAGAAGGAGCAGCAGGGUCGCUCAGAGCUGGAGCGUUCCAAGCGCAAAUUGGAAACUGACCUCAAUGAUCUCAAAGAACAGAUCAAUGAGAAGAAGAACCAGAUCCAUGAGGUGCAGAUUCACUUGGCCAAACGGGAGGAAGAGCUGGCCCAGGCCAUGAUGAGAGUGGAUGAGGAGGCUGCUGCCAAGAGCCAGCUCCAAAAGAGUAUGCGUGAGGUGGAGUCACAGCUCAAUGAACUGCAAGAAGACCUUGAAGCUGAACGUAACCAGCGGGCCAAGGCUGAAAAACAAAAGCGAGACCUGAAUGAAGAGCUGGAAGCUCUAAAGAAUGAAUUGCUAGACUCAUUGGACACAACAGCUGCUCAGCAGGAGCUGCGUAGCAAGCGUGAGGAGGAGUUGGCUUCUCUCAAAAAGAGCCUCGAGGACGACCAGGCUUUGCACGAGCAUCAGAUUGCUGAAUUGCGGCAGAAACAUUCCCAUGCUAUUGAGAACCUCAAUGUAGAAAUUGACCAACUCAAGAAGAUGAAGGGUGGCUUGGACAAAGCCAAGAACCAGCUGGAGGCAGAGAAUGCUGACUUGGCCAAUGAAUUGAGAAAUAUUACCAGCAGCAAGCAGGAGAGCGAGAAGAAACGCAAGCAGUGCGAGGCCAUCAUCUCUGACCUGCAGGUUAAGAUUGCCGAGUCAGAACGCAGUCGUACAGACUACCAGGAGCGGCUCACACGGUUAGAACAGGAACUCAAUGCUGCCAACAUUGCCAUGGAAGAGGCUGACUCCAGGGCUGUGUCAGCUAACAGCCAGCUCAAGAAUCUGGAAUCCCACCUGCAAGAAACUCAGGGCCUGUUGGAAGAGGAGACACGCCAGAAGCUGAAUCUGAAUUCCCGUGUACGAGCACUGGAGCAAGAGAAGGAUCACCUGCAAGAAGCCCUUGAGGAAGAGGAAGGAUUCAAGAGGAACUUCGAGAAGCAGGUCGCCACCCUCCAGGUCCAAUUGAGUGAGGCCAAGAAGAAAGCCGAUGAGGAGUCUGGCAAUGCACAGCAGUUGGAGGAAACACGCAAGCGGCAGAUGAAGGAGCUUGAGGAGCUGCGUGCACGUCUGGCUGAGCUGGAGUCUGCCAAUGAGAAAUUAGAAAAGAGCAAGAGGAAGCUUCAGGCAGAGUUGGAGGAUGUCCAGGUGGAUAUUGAUACCAACCGAGCAAAGGUGGUGGAGCUGGAGAAGAAACAGCGCAACUUUGACAAACAGCUCAAUGAAGAGAAGAGCAAUUAUGAGCGUUGCCAGCAGGAGAAGGAGAAUGCUGAGCGAGAGGCCAGGGAAAAAGAAACAAGGAUUCUUUCUCUUAACAGGACACUCGAGGAAUACAUGGAACGCAUUGAUGACUUGGAGACCGGCAAGAAGAGGCUACAGAUUGAGCUGGAUGACCUCGUGUCCACGCGAGGCACAGCAGACAAGAAUGUGCAUGAGCUGGAGAAGGCAAAGAGAGCUCUUGAGUCCCAGCUUACUGAACAGAAGACUCAGAUUGAGGAACUGGAGGAUGAGCUCCAGCUGACAGAGGAUGCCAAACUACGUCUGGAGGUGAACAUGCAGGCCAUGAAGGCUCAGUUUGAGCGCGACCUCAAUGCCAGGGAAGAACAGGGCGAGGAGAAGCGACGUGGCCUGUUGAAGCAGUUGCGUGAGUUGGAAGCUGAAUUAGAGGAGGAGAGGAAACAGCGCACAGCUGCUGUUACUGCUCGUAAGAAGCUGGAGGGUGACCUGAAGGACAUGGAGGGUCAACUUGAGAUGAACAGCAAGAUAAAGGAUGAUGCUGUCAAGCAGCUGAAACGUGCAGGAGCACAGGUGAAGGAGUACCAGCGGGAGGCUGAAGAAAGCCGGCUUGCAAGGGAGGAAACAGCUGCACAGUACAAAGACCUUGAGCGCAAAAUAAAGGUGAUGGAGACUGAACUGCUCCAAUACCAGGAAGAUCUGGCAUCUGCUGAGAGGGCACGCAAGAAUGCUGAAGCAGAAAGAGAUGAACUGCAGGAGGAGUUGUCACAGUACACCUCCAAGGUCACCAUUAGUGCAGAUGAAAAGAAAAGGCUUGAGGCACGCAUCUCUACUCUUGAGGAGGAACUUGAAGAGGAACAGAGCAAUGUAGAGGUUCUUAUGGACAAGAUGCGCAAGAACCAGCUUGCGAUGGAGCAGCUCCAGACUGACUACAACACUGAAAAAUCAUCUGUAGUGAAACUUGAAGGUCAACGAUCCAUGUUGGAGAGACAGAACAAGGAGCUGAAGGCCAAGCUGGCUGAACUGGAAUCAGAGAUCCGGUCCAAGACCAAGUCAACCAUUGCAGCACUUGAGACCAAGGUUUCCAACCUGGAGGAACAGCUGGAGGUUGAAGCACGUGACCGACUUGCCCAGGCCAAGGCCAACCGCAAGCUGGAGAAGAAGCUGAAGGAGUUGGUGAUGCAGGUGGAGGAUGAGCGUCGCCAUGCUGACCAAUACAAGGAACAGCUUGAUAAGUCCAAUGCGCGAGUGAAGCAGCUGAAGCGCACCAUGGAGGAGACCGAGGAUGAGCUGUCCAAGGAAAAGAUGCAGCGACGCAAGAUCCAGCGAGAGGUGGAGGACAUGCUGGAGGCUCAGGAGUCACAGAACAGGGAAAUCUCCUCCCUCAAGACCAAACUGAGCAGUAGCAAAACGUCUAGUCACGUGAUCAGUAGUCGGCGGUCUUACACCAAGACGACAACCAUUUCCCAAGAUGAUGCAGAAGACUAGAGCCCCACUGGCCCAUUGUGGGUACCAAAGAUGUGUGGGUGACUGACUGGUGCCUAUUUGUGGGUUUGGCGUGGUGCAGGACUCAGCUCCCGACUAGACUACAUUCAAGUAAAGCGAGGCUCCAUUGCUGCUGCCAGCGAUGACUCCCAAAAUGCCGACGACUCUCUGGAUGGGGAGGAAGAUGCCACCAAGUGAAUCAAGAAUCUGGUCGGAGCCAAUCCCUUGGGAGUGGCUAAGAGUUCUGGAUCCUCUCAUGUGGGAUGUUCUCGGGUGGAUACAUAAUUAUUUUUCUCAAUAUAAAUGAUUAAUGAUGCUUUUUGAAUUUUUUUUAUUUUGUUUACCACACUGGGUGCAUAACUCAAGAUCAUCAACUACAAGCACUGGCAAGUGAGGACAUGGUUUGAUAACAAGAAGUACCCCUAUACUAGAGUUGGGUUACAUGACUUACCCAUGUACUUGUCCUCAUUCUGGGCGCUGAGAAAUUGGCUGCACAUUUAUAUUAAGAAAACUUCUUGUCUGUCUGUGGAUACAUUGUUGAAUUUGUUGCCAUAACAUAUGUAGAAGUGUGCAUGUGUGUGCGUAUGCGUGUGCAUGUGUGGGUCUGCACCCAAUGAGGAAAAGAAACAAAAUGAGACAUUCCAGAAAAGAGGGAGGGAGGGAGAAAGAAAUUAGACGUAGUCAUGGUGGCAUGCCUGUACUUAAUCCAGAAGGGGAGACAAGAAUGGAACAAUUCUCCAUGAGUCUGAGCACAAAGCUGCCUCCUCACAACUUCUAAGCAUGUAUGUAUUAGUGAGAGAGAAAUAAAGAAAACUUGUAUGUAUGCAUAGUGUACCAGACUGCAUGACUGAGUGAGUGAGUGAGUCAGGGCAGAAACCCCAAGUCAGUGGCAGAUGGUACUGAUGGUUGCCAAGCGACCAGUAGCAUCAGCUCACCGCUGAGGAUCAAGUACACCAGGCUGGUGUGACGGGAGUGGAGGGUGACUGGCUCAAAGUGACGUUUUUACAUUUCCUGAUGCCCAAACCUGAGAUAAUGCAUUGCGAUCUUGCUUCACCCACUGCAGGAGCAGCAUGAAUAGCCAGGCUCUGCUGGGUGCAACACUACCGUCACAGGCCCUCGCAUAAUGUUAGUCAUGCGCCUGUGCAUGGUAUGCCUUUUUUUACUGUCAUAAUGGAAUUUCUUUUGUAAUAUUAUUAAACUAACAAUUGAAUGCUUCCAAUUUGCUACUACAACUGUAUAGAUUUAACUAACAUUGAAUAAAUAACCUAUUGUCAUUAGUUGCCUAUAUUAUUAUUAUUAUUAUUAUUAUUAUUAUUAUUAUUAUUAUUAUUAUUAUUAUUAUUAUUAUUAUUAUUAUUAUUAUUAUGAUGAUGAUGAUGAUGUUACUACUACUUGUAUAGUUGCCAGACAGUUUAGUGAUGAAAAUUUUCUUAUACAUCCUGUACUACUUUCUUACCCAGAAAUUAAUUACAACCAUCCAUAUAGCAAUACAUCAUACAUCCUUUAAUACUUUCUUACCCAGAGAUUAAUUACAACCAUCCAUACAACAACAACUUCUGUUUUAUCUGUCUCUCUCUCUCUUUGAGUUGUUCACCGGUUGUAACGUUAAUGACUUAUUUAUCUUGCAAGUGACCUUAAAUAUUAUACAAUGCUCAUGAUGUAUUACAACUUCAGCCCUCAAUAUAUCAUUCCCGUUUGUCUGUAGAAAAUAUGGCCUUAUAGUUGUAGUCCAAAAGCUGAUUUGAUAUUUAUAUUCCGAAAGUAGAGCGUAGGCAUCCUUAUGAUGAUAGAGCAAUACAUUGUACAGGAUGGUGAUAAGAAAUAAUGAAAAGGACUGAUUUGUGAUUUAAGGUAUAAAAAGCUUCUAUAAGGUGCUUUGUUUUGAUAUUGCUAUAUUGCAUUUGUUAAUUUGAAGUGAUGAUCAGGUAUCAGAUAGUUAGGUAUAGAUAUAGAAUUUUGAUUGAGAAAAGUUUUUCUAUAAAAGAGCAGGGUACAUCAUGCUUACCAGACAGUUUAAGGCCACCUUUUGUUCAAGACUCAUCAGUUAGAAUGCACAAAGUGCAGUCCAUGGCAAGGAUGUAAUAGAAGAAAUAUUUGACAUUUCAAUCAAGAAUGUGACAUAAUACACACACACACACACACACACACACAAACACACAUAGUGGCAGACUUUCUUGAUGCUGCCACAGUAUAACAGUGAUAACCCCCCACAGUGACAAGCCCUCAGUUUACACCAGCAUCUCUUGCUGUUCAUGUGUCUUCACCCCCAAAGAUUACUCAAAAUAAGUGUCCUCAGUGGUGCUGAAGGACACCUAUUAGAUGAGGGACAGGGAAGACAGUGUAGGCCAAAUCAAAAGCCAGUGGUGUGAAUUCAGGACUUGCUGUGUUGGUUAGUUUGGCUCCAGCUCAACAUUAAUGGGUAGGGUGGGAGGGAGGGAGGGAGAGGGUAACCAGGAACCUUCCAAUAGCUGGGAGGGAGACAUCCUGCCACCAGAACAGUCCAAGAGGAAUGACCGUCCAGUUACUCCUUUGCCAUAAUGCAGAGCCAAAAAAAGAGGAGGGGGGAGCACAGUCCUAGGCACCCCUUAGGGAGGAUGGCUUUAGUGGUGGUAUUGAUGUUUUGAAGUUCCUAUGCUGAGGAAAAUGUGCCAAGUGCAUCUUUUACUGUUUUCACAUCAGAGUGAGCCAAGGUAAUGAGCCAAAGACAACUGUCAGUGUUAACUUAGGUAAUGACAUUUUUGCCACUGAUUCUGGUGGGGGGAAAGUGAAGUUUCAUAAAGUCUGCUUAGCUUGCAUUGUAUUUAAAAUAAUUAAAUUUUCAAUAUAUCUUUGCAUACUUUGGAUGCAUUCCAACUGACUGCAAUAAAUGGCCUUAACAA